GACGAACGCUGGCGGCGUGCUUAACACAUGCAAGUCGAACGGAAAGGCCUCGUUCGGGGGGUCCCCGAGUGGCGAACGGGGGAGUAACACCCGAGUAACCUGCCUUUCUCUCUGGGAUAACUUCUGGAAACUGGGGCUAUUUCCGGACAGGAGCUCCUGCGGCUUGGGGGGGGUUGGAGAGUUUAGGCGGUUGGGGAUGGGCUCGGGGCUUAGCAGCUUGUGGUUGGGGUAUUGGCUUACCAAAGCUUUGGCGGGUAGCCGGCCUGAGAGGGUGACCAGCAACAGUGAGACUGAGAUACGGCCCAGACUCCGACGGGAGGCAGAGGUGGGGAAUAUUGAUCAAUGAGUGGGAGCCUGAUGCAGCAACGCCGAGUGCGGGAGGACGGUGUUGGGGUUGGAGACCGCAUUCGCUCAUGACGAAGAUGUGUGUGACGGUAGUGGGUAAAGAAGCACCGGCUAACUACGUG
RNAcentral lists this ribosomal RNA (467 nucleotides) under uncultured bacterium. Its description in RNAcentral is "partial 16S ribosomal RNA". It matches the Rfam family "Bacterial small subunit ribosomal RNA", at positions 28 to 507 of the family's 1533-position model. The record is from RNAcentral.